GGGCGUGUGGUCUAGUGGUAUGAUUCUCGCUUUGGGCGAAGAUUGAGUUAUACUUGGUCUAAAAAUCACAAAUAUGCGAGAGGCCCUGGGUUCAAUUCCCAGCUCGCCCC
Molecule: transfer RNA, 110 nt
Filed under: Lachancea mirantina
Lineage: Eukaryota; Fungi; Ascomycota; Saccharomycetes; Saccharomycetales; Saccharomycetaceae
Rfam family: tRNA
About the family: Transfer RNA (tRNA) molecules are approximately 80 nucleotides in length. Their secondary structure includes four short double-helical elements and three loops (D, anti-codon, and T loops).
Source: Rfam by way of RNAcentral